This 497-nucleotide ribosomal RNA is filed under the name uncultured bacterium. RNAcentral describes it as "partial 16S ribosomal RNA". It matches the Rfam family "Bacterial small subunit ribosomal RNA", at positions 28 to 507 of the family's 1533-position model. The record is from RNAcentral.
GAUGAACGCUGGCGGCGUGCCUAAUACAUGCCAGUCGAGCGAACAGACGAGGAGCUUGCUCCUCUGACGUUAGCGGCGGACGGGUGAGUAACACGUGGAUAACCUACCUAUAAGACUGGGAUAACUUCGGGAAACCGGAGCUAAUACCGGAUAAUAUAUUGAACCGCAUGGUUCAAUAGUGAAAGACGGUUUUGCUGUCACUUAUAGAUGGAUCCGCGCCGCAUUAGCUAGUUGGUAAGGUAACGGCUUACCAAGGCAACGAUGCGUAGCCGACCUGAGGGGGUGAUCGGCCACACUGGAACUGAGACGCGGUCCAGACUCCUACGGGAGGCAGCAGUAGGGAAUCUUCCGCAAUGGGCGAAAGCCUGACGGAGCAACGCCGCGGGAGUGAUGAAGGUCUUCGGAUCGUAAAACUCUGUUAUUAGGGAAGAACAAAUGUGUAAGUAACUAUGCACGUCUUGACGGUACCUAAUCAGAAAGCCACGGCUAACUACGUG